UACGGAGGGUGCAAGCGUUAUCCGGAUUCACUGGGUUUAAAGGGUGCGUAGGUGGGUUGGUAAGUCAGUGGUGAAAUCUCCGUGCUUAACAUGGAAACUGCCAUUGAUACUACUGGUCUUGAAUUUUCUGGAGGUAAGCGGAAUAUGUCAUGUAGCGGUGAAAUGCCUAGAUAUGACAUAGAACACCAAUUGCGAAGGCAGCUUACUACAGGGACAUUGACACUGAGGCACGAAAGCGUGGGGAUCAAACAGG
RNAcentral lists this ribosomal RNA (253 nucleotides) under uncultured bacterium. RNAcentral describes it as "partial 16S ribosomal RNA". It matches the Rfam family "Bacterial small subunit ribosomal RNA", at positions 524 to 776 of the family's 1533-position model. The record is from RNAcentral.